RNAcentral lists this small RNA (29 nucleotides) under Bombyx mori (domestic silkworm). Its description in RNAcentral is "ovarian small RNA-32575". The record is from RNAcentral. Lineage: Eukaryota; Metazoa; Arthropoda; Insecta; Lepidoptera; Bombycidae.
UGAUAUUGCUCGGUAGACCGACGGUCCGU